UCCCUGGUGGUCCAGUGGUUAAGACUCUGUGCUUCCACUGCAGGGAGGGUUGGUUCGAUCCCUGGUCAGGGAA
Non-coding RNA from Bos taurus (domestic cattle), 73 nucleotides. The record is from Rfam. Lineage: Eukaryota; Metazoa; Chordata; Mammalia; Artiodactyla; Bovidae.